CAGCAGCCGCGGUAAUACGUAGGUGGCAGGCGUUGUCCGGAAUUAUUGGGCGUAAAGGGCUCGCAAGCGGUUUCUUAAGUCUGAUGUGAAAGCCCCCGGCUCAACCGGGGAGGGUCAUUGGAAACUGGGAAACUUGAGUGCAGAAGAGGAGAGUGGAAUUCCACGUGUAGCGGUGAAAUGCGUAGAGAUGUGGAGGAACACCAGUGGCGAAGGCGACUCUCUGGUCUGUAACUGACGCUGAGGAGCGAAAGCGUGGGGAGCGAACAGGAUUAGAUACCCCUGUAGUCCCUGUCUCUUAUAC
Molecule: ribosomal RNA, 301 nt
Filed under: uncultured bacterium
Lineage: Bacteria
Description: partial 16S ribosomal RNA
Rfam family: Bacterial small subunit ribosomal RNA
Source: RNAcentral